RNAcentral lists this long non-coding RNA (635 nucleotides) under Mus musculus (house mouse). Its description in RNAcentral is "RIKEN cDNA C030029H02 gene". The record is from RNAcentral. Lineage: Eukaryota; Metazoa; Chordata; Mammalia; Rodentia; Muridae.
UGCCUGGAUUUCUUGCCAUUGGAAGGGGUGCCUCUCCCUGAAGGUGGAUCUCUGAAGGAGGCAGGCCAGGCCUUCCAGCAAAGCUUUCUUUGCCUGGUGUGGUUGUCUAUCUCUCCAGGGGACAGCAAGUGACCGGCACAGAGGUGGUUCUGGAGUGUAUCAAGUGGAGCAUUAAAGGCUCUGCUGUGUGCCUGCAGAACGCAGGGACUGCCUUCCCAGCUGCCUCUGCGCAGCCAGAACCUUCCACUGAGAAGCCAGGCGCUUCUACAUGGUAGAGCUGAGCCAAGAACUUCAGACGUAACCAACGCACAGGACAAGCUCUGGGGACCGUGUCUCCUGAACGCACACGACACAAGCUGAGGGGAGCCACUCCUUAGAAACAAUUAAACAGGAAUAUUACAGGAUUCAGUAUCCCUCUUUGGGAACUGGUGGACCCGUCACCCCCAAAUGAAAUCAGCACUUCUCAAAGUGUCCUGUAUUUAUGGUAGCACUAGCCACAGUAGCCAGGAUACAAAAAAAAAAAAAAAAAAAAAGAAAAAAGAAAAAAGAAAAAAGAAAGAAAGAAAGAAAGACUUGUGAAUGGCUAAAGUUUGAUACACACCUCUAGAGAGAGGGGGAGAGAGAGAGCCUUAAAA